This 2180-nucleotide long non-coding RNA is filed under the name Pelobates cultripes (western spadefoot toad). Lineage: Eukaryota; Metazoa; Chordata; Amphibia; Anura; Pelobatidae. The record is from RNAcentral.
GAUAAAUCAAAUAUAAAACAAACUAUAAGCAUUAUAAAACAAAAUCUGGUAGUUUUAUAGUCCAUACAGUAUGGAGUAACUUAAUCAAGCAAAUAAACUAAGCAAACUAAUUACCCACUGUUAUACUAUUACCAGCAGCAACAGCACCUUAUUAUUAUUAUUAUUAAAAAGAGCCAAUAUUAAAGAACUGCAUAAUGAGUUCACAAGAUAUGCAAAUGAAUUCAACACACAAGUUUGACUGACAUGAAUAAUAGUAAGUAAUAGGCAGCAAGGGUCAAGAUCAAACUAAUUUACAGUCUGGAGGAUGAAGAUGUCUUAGCUAAUUGUGUUCAGGGACAAUAAGCCAAUAGUUAUAGUAGUGGUGGUGUCGGUAGUCGGUAGGGGUGUGCCAAAACCGACGUUCGGGUAGGCCUGUAAAAAGAUGGCCCACCAAUAUUGAACUUGAUAAAGGGAGCAGUGGGUGGACUGAACCCAGCAGUAUUGGUCCAGAGGAAGGGGAGGCCUGUGUAUUUAUAGGCUGGGUGACCCUUCCAACAACUUCUGGCUCUGCCUACAGGCUCAGCCUUUCUAUUUUUGAAUUCCCACUAGGAUCCAGGAGGUACAGACAAAUUAUUCUCCAGAUCUAAAUAUCUAGAUUAUCUGACAACUUAAAGGAACACUCCACUGCACAUGAACACACACACACAUCACUGUUUAAUAGAUAUAACCCCAAUUAAAAUAUGCAUGCAUAUAAUUAUGCAUUUUAUCUUCAUUGGUAUAUCUAAAAACAGCUUUCACAAGCUGCAGAUCGAAUUUGCAGCCUUUGUAAGCCCUGCGCUUCUAACCCAGCAAAGACUUUCUGUGACUAUCCAAUCACAGGCCUUCCAAAGCAGCGUAAUGACAAGUCUUUCUAAAGCAUGCACUCUGAGCAAUUGCUGCCUCUUGAGUUUAGUUCCACUGAGCUAAAUAACCAGGAAGUAACCAGCUCCAUCAUCUAACAGCUAGGGGGAGUAAGAACGUUCAUGUAUAAAGGUGCCAAUUUGUAUUAAUUUGUACAAAUGAAGUAUAUAGGGUUCACGGGGUGAGCAGCAGAAACGGAAUUUAUUUAAAUCACCAAGGACAAAACAGCAUAAAAUAUUUUGGCCAAUAGGCUAUUUUUGUAUAGAUUGAUACAUUGGGGUUUUGUUGCCCCCUUUUGCAAAAGAUUUGUUUAUGACCUUUGUUUCUGUGUGCAGUACCCCAUUAAUAUUGUCAAUUUGUAAUGAAAUCUACACUUUUAAACAAUGGGGAAAAAAGAGGACACACUCUUCACACAUCACAUCAGUAAGCUACUUAUAUAUCCCUUUAGGGUUCUGGAGUGCCCUAUUAAUUUUAUUGGUCCAAUCGAAAUGCCAAAGAGUAGUGAUAGCUGUACAUGUUUGGGUAUAAUUGAACCGUACACUCAUACUGAUACUCUUUAAUAAACAUAUAAGCAUACACUGUGCAUUUUUACAUAGUUAACAUUUACUCAUUAGCUAUGAACAUGAAUAAAUACAAUAGAAAUUAAAGCACUAUACACUCCUACGGCUCCUCCAGUCUGCCAUUGAGCACAGGAUUUCACAACUAAAAAGUGCAUUAUCAGAAUUUAAGAUUCCCGCUGGACUAGUAAAUUCUGAGGACUUAUGUUGUUCUCUGCAUCUAGAUAAUUGGAUAUUGAAUUUCACAGGCUUCAAAUAUUUAACUGAGUACUCUCUCAACCUAUACAGUAGUAGUCGUCUUUAAACAUGCUAAAGUUCUUGGAGUGAGCUGUACUGGAUAGCAACCAGUUAAGACCCUGGAUUCUCCAUGCUUUAAAAGAUGAAUGUAGAAAAUUCCCAGUAAUUAUUUAUUAUGUUGCUUUAUGAACAUUGUGGAUAAUAUAUUGUAAAUAGAAGUCUUAAAAGACUGUGCAGAGGCUAUCCAUUUGGAGAUCAGGGCUGCACUAGCCAAUUAAAAAAUAUUCAAACUCUUGGGCAAGCAUUGGACAUAUGAAGCAUAUUUAUAUGUUGCAUUAGCAAAAUACCUCAUAAAGUUAGAGAACAAAUUAUGACCUAUAUUUUCUUUUAGUAUAUUUGCAAUACACCAUAAUUUUGAUAUAUGUAACAAUUUGUUAGUAACUGAUAGUUGAAACUGUAUAUACAAUUGUUACAAUGUAUCUGCAAAUAUGCUUAUUUUAACUGAAC